This is a long non-coding RNA of Humulus lupulus (European hop), 924 nucleotides long. RefSeq lists it as uncharacterized. The transcript has 2 exons. Lineage: Eukaryota; Viridiplantae; Streptophyta; Magnoliopsida; Rosales; Cannabaceae. The record is from RefSeq and is a predicted model, not a curated record.
CACGUGGAAAAAGUAGAAGAAAAGAAAAGGAUGUCCUAAUUUAGGGGGAUCAUCUUCUUUUCCCCUAGGAUAUGGAGCAUAGACGUUCAUGCCAGAAAAGAAAAAAAGGGAGUCGCCUGGUACAAUUUGAGACCCAAUUUUGGAGAGCUUAAACGUGAAGGAGAAGGAGGAAAGCAAAGGAAAAAAGCUAGACGUGCGACACAACCACUUAGAGACAUCUCCUUGGCUUGACACUCUUACUUCUUCUCUUAGUUUUUCUUUAAUUUUUCCUCUAAAUUUCUGAAUAUGGAUGGUUAUUAUUUAGGUCGGUACGUUGAAUCGUGAGUUAAAUGCUAAAAGAAGAGGAAACGGUGGAAAAAUUGAGCUUUUGGUGAUUGUUUGAGUCAAAUUGGUCGCGACUCUAGCAAAGUCAGAGGCUGAAGGUUUGCUGAAAGGAAUUAGAGUCGCGACUUGGUCAAUAGAGUCGCGGCGCUAGAAGAAUCAAAGGCAAAAUCCAGGAGGUCCAUGGAGAGGCGGGCCGCGACUUGGGUUUAGAGGGUCGCGGUGCUUGGAGGGCAAACCAGAUUUUGAUGAGCUUUAAAAAGACACGGGCUGCGACUUAGGAAAGGCCAAGUCGCGGCCCGUCUAUGAAAAAAAGAAGAAAUCGUAUUUUUUUUAGUAUAAAUUCAUAUUUUAGGGUUUAAUUAGGUUAAGGUGAGAUUUUAAUUACGAGUUUAGAGAAUAAAUUUGAUUCUAAGAUUAGUUUUUCUGCACUUUCAUAUUUUUUAUUUCUUCUUCAAGUCUUUGAAUUUUAUGUUUAUGAAUAAUUAUUUUGUUUUUUUAGUCAUGUCUAAUAUGAACUAAACACUUCUAUCUAGAGUUUAAUGUAGUCACUUGGAAUUCUAUUUAAUCUUAUUAUGAUGUUCUAUUGAUUCUUCUUCUUUA